CUUUAUUCCAGUGAGAAAACCCUCUUCGUUUUCCCAUGUCACUCAUUAUCAAGUAUCAGGUUUGGGUGAUCUAGAAAUAACAAUGAUUUUCUUCAUAUCUCCUUUGUAUGCUGGGGUGUUUUUAGUGCAAUUCACAGAUGCUUGUCCUUCCAUUUUUAAGUAUAAAGUGUUGAAAUCUGGAUGAAUAAAAUGUGUAGUUAUCUGGGUAUGUAAUGACAUGUAAUUGUUGC
Molecule: non-coding RNA, 230 nt
Organism: Pelobates cultripes (western spadefoot toad)
Lineage: Eukaryota; Metazoa; Chordata; Amphibia; Anura; Pelobatidae
Source: the annotation of a GenBank genome assembly